UUAAAUUGAAGAGUUUGAUCAUGGCUCAGAUUGAACGCUGGCGGCAGGCCUAACACAUGCAAGUCGAGCGGUAGCACAGAGAGCUUGCUCUCGGGUGACGAGCGGCGGACGGGUGAGUAAUGUCUGGGAAACUGCCUGAUGGAGGGGGAUAACUACUGGAAACGGUAGC
This 169-nucleotide ribosomal RNA is filed under the name Klebsiella quasipneumoniae. RNAcentral describes it as "16S rRNA. Bacterial SSU". It matches the Rfam family "Bacterial small subunit ribosomal RNA", at positions 1 to 163 of the family's 1533-position model. The record is from RNAcentral. Lineage: Bacteria; Pseudomonadati; Pseudomonadota; Gammaproteobacteria; Enterobacterales; Enterobacteriaceae.